AAUUUUUAUACAUAAGACACCCCGUUAAUUUAGUUUAUUGGUAUUUAUUAAAUUAUACGAAAGGGCCUUAUUUUUUAAGUAUUUCAAUGUAAAAUUACAUAUAAACACAAAGUAUUUUGGUGAGACUCUUGAGGGAACAGGACAAGUUGAAGACUAUAGGCUGAAGUUGUCCGCUAAGAAACCAAGCCAACAAUACAAAGUAUUAUAAAUAAAAAGCCAG
Molecule: small RNA, 220 nt
Organism: Staphylococcus epidermidis RP62A
Lineage: Bacteria; Bacillati; Bacillota; Bacilli; Caryophanales; Staphylococcaceae
Rfam family: S. aureus tsr24 small RNA
Source: Rfam